GGACCUGUAAUCUGAGAUUCACGUAG
RNAcentral lists this non-coding RNA (26 nucleotides) under Cricetulus griseus (Chinese hamster). The record is from RNAcentral. Lineage: Eukaryota; Metazoa; Chordata; Mammalia; Rodentia; Cricetidae.